CCUACGGGGGGCUGCAGUGAGGAAUCUUGCGCAAUGGGGGAAACCCUGACGCAGCAACGCCGCGUGAGUGAGGAAGGUCUUCGGAUCGUAAAGCUCUGUCGGGUGGAAAGAAAUGUAUGGGGUUAAUAGCCUUCAUACUUGACGGUACCACCAAAGGAAGCACCGGCUAACUCCGUGCCAGCAGCCGCGGUAAUACGGGGGGUGCAAGCGUUGUUCGGAAUGCGUGGGCGUAGAUAGCGUGGUGGCAUGUGAAAGCCCUGGGCUUAACCCAGGAAGUGCAUUUGAAACUGCCAGGCUUGAGUAGGGGAGAGGGAAGUGAAAUUCCUGGUGUAGAGGUGAAAUUCGUAGAUAUCAGGAGGAACACCGGUGGCGAAGGCGACUUCCUGGCCCUAUACUGACGCUGAGACGCGAGAGCGUGGGUAGCAAACAGGAUUAGAUACCCUAGUAGUC
RNAcentral lists this ribosomal RNA (450 nucleotides) under uncultured bacterium. RNAcentral's name for it is "partial 16S ribosomal RNA". It matches the Rfam family "Bacterial small subunit ribosomal RNA", at positions 338 to 795 of the family's 1533-position model. The record is from RNAcentral.